UGGGGAAUAUUGGACAAUGGGCGAAAGCCUGAUCCAGCCAUGCCGCGUGUGUGAAGAAGGUCUUCGGAUUGUAAAGCACUUUAAGUUGGGAGGAAGGGCAUUAACCUAAUACGUUAGUGUUUUGACGUUACCGAAAGAAUAAGCACCGGCUAACUCUGUGCCAGCAGCCGCGGUAAUACAGAGGGUGCAAGCGUUAAUCGGAAUUACUGGGCGUAAAGCGCGCGUAGGUGGUCUGUUAAGUUGGAUGUGAAAUCCCCGGGCUCAACCUGGGAACUGCAUUCAAAACUGACUGACUAGAGUAUGGUAGAGGGUGGUGGAAUUUCCUGUGUAGCGGUGAAAUGCGUAGAUAUAGGAAGGAACACCAGUGGCGAAGGCGACCACCUGGACUAAUACUGACACUGAGGUGCGAAAGCGUGGUGAGCAAACA
RNAcentral lists this ribosomal RNA (427 nucleotides) under uncultured bacterium. Its description in RNAcentral is "partial 16S ribosomal RNA". It matches the Rfam family "Bacterial small subunit ribosomal RNA", at positions 355 to 774 of the family's 1533-position model. The record is from RNAcentral.